CUAAGAGCAUCUUUAUCGCAUUAGCUUAAGGAGGGCGCUUAGCAUAAUUACAAUUAAAAGAAAAUCAAAAAUAGAAAAAAGCAGAAGGGCCGACGCUUAAUUAAGCACGAGAAGCAACGUUGCUUCUUGGACAGGUGGCAAAAUCUGAGUGGGUAGAGGAAUGGUUUGGUGUUUGAAGCGUUUUUUUCUCUCUUUCCUUUCUCUCUUUCGUCUACGAAAGCAAAUCGGUGUUUCUACCGUUUCUUCUCUCCCGCUCUCUCGUUCGGAUUCUCGUCUCUAAAGAGAGGAAAAACUCAAAGUUUUGAUCGGUUGAUAGCCAAAGUAUUGAAAACCAAACCUAGGAGGAGGAAUAGAUAAAAGAUGUGGGCAAAUUUUUGUCUGGCAUCGUGCUGUGCUGCUUGUGCAUGCGAUGCUUGCCGUACUGCUGUUUCUAGUAUCAGCAGACGUUCCGCAAGGAUUCUUACUGUGGUCUCUUUGCAAUUUCUUUAAUCGUUUCAUGGAUCCUCUGUGAGGUCGCUCCUCCUCUCAUGGAGAAGCUCCCUUGUAAAUAUUUUCUUUUUCUCUUCCUAUGUCCUUGUAUUGAGGAUAUUUGAGCUUACGAGAGCUAAGAGUGAUGAGUCCUUUGUAUCUGCUCUGCAGCAGAGUGGUCAAGAAGAGUUAAAAAGUGUAGCAUUGGGAGUGGAUGAUUCAAGACAGGUUUUGUCUCGGGCCAUUCUCUUGUCUCUCUUGUAAAGACCUCUGAGUUAGUGUUCUGAUUGUGUAGCAUUUGUUUAUAGUUUCCCAUACACUUCUGUUGUUUAUAUAAUCAGAACGAUCGCAUGAGUUAGUGUUCUUGGCAAUUUUAUGUUGUUUGUAUGUGUGCAAGUACUCUUUGCUUUAAGUAAAUAUUUUCAAGAAUUUGAGAUGUAUAA
This is a long non-coding RNA of Raphanus sativus (radish), 911 nucleotides long. RefSeq lists it as uncharacterized. The record is from RefSeq and is a predicted model, not a curated record. NCBI's taxonomy places the organism in Eukaryota, Viridiplantae, Streptophyta, Magnoliopsida, Brassicales, Brassicaceae. The transcript is spliced from 3 exons.